CAUUGUAAGCAUCUAUUCCUUGGGCUUUAUCAUCUCCAAUUACUUUUAGACUCUCAACAAUUUCACGAUCAGUGAUAUCCACACAUAAUUCCCUUCUUUGCUGUUGUGUUAGGACUGGACCAUUUGUCAUAUCGAUUUUGUUUAUUGCUGGAAGUUGAUAUCCACACAUAAUUCCCUUCUUUGUUGCUGUGUUAGGACUAGACCAUUUGUCAUAUACAUUCUGUUUAUUGCUGGAAAAGAUGAAGCUGAUGAUCCCAUAAGUGUCUUAUGGAAACCAGUGAUCUCCUUUUUUAUAUUUGCAGAUGUAUUGACUUUGACUCCCAUUACAUUUGUGAGUUCUGUGAUCUGUUUAUUCUGAGUUCUUUCUUUCAGGACUAUAGUAAUGUACUUGGUAUAAGAAUCUCCAAGUUGUAUCCAUUUUGCUCUAGCCUUCUGUUGU
Molecule: long non-coding RNA, 439 nt
Filed under: Nicotiana benthamiana
Lineage: Eukaryota; Viridiplantae; Streptophyta; Magnoliopsida; Solanales; Solanaceae
Description: long non-coding RNA (NBEN_LNC014048)
Source: RNAcentral